GAACCCCGGAGAGGGGAGUGAAAUAGAACCUGAAACCGUGUACGUACAAGCAGUCGGAGCCCUCUUGUGGGGUGACGGCGUACCUUUUGUAUAAUGGGUCAUCGACUUGGUCUAUCUAGCAAGCUUAAGCCGUUAGGUGUAGGCGCAGCGAAAGCGAGUCUUAAUAGGGCGAAUGAGUUAGAUGGAUCAGACCCGAAACCGAGUGA
This 206-nucleotide ribosomal RNA is filed under the name Thalassiosira minuscula. RNAcentral describes it as "partial Bacterial large subunit ribosomal RNA". It matches the Rfam family "Bacterial large subunit ribosomal RNA", at positions 521 to 728 of the family's 2925-position model. The record is from RNAcentral. Lineage: Eukaryota; Bacillariophyta; Thalassiosirophyceae; Thalassiosirales; Thalassiosiraceae.